UAAAUUUGAUCGUUCACAAUU
RNAcentral lists this non-coding RNA (21 nucleotides) under Caenorhabditis elegans. The record is from RNAcentral. Lineage: Eukaryota; Metazoa; Nematoda; Chromadorea; Rhabditida; Rhabditidae.